RNAcentral lists this ribosomal RNA (398 nucleotides) under uncultured bacterium. Its description in RNAcentral is "partial 16S ribosomal RNA". It matches the Rfam family "Bacterial small subunit ribosomal RNA", at positions 523 to 918 of the family's 1533-position model. The record is from RNAcentral.
AUACGUAGGGUGCGAGCGUUGUCCGGAAUUACUGGGCGUAAAGAGCUCGUAGGUGGUUUGUCGCGUCGUCUGUGAAAUUCCAGGGCUUAACUCCGGGCGUGCAGGCGAUACGGGCAUAACUUGAGUACUGUAGGGGAGACUGGAAUUCCUGGUGUAGCGGUGAAAUGCGCAGAUAUCAGGAGGAACACCGGUGGCGAAGGCGGGUCUCUGGGCAGUAACUGACGCUGAGGAGCGAAAGCAUGGGUAGCGAACAGGAUUAGAUACCCUGGUAGUCCAUGCCGUAAACGGUGGGCGCUAGGUGUAGGGGUCUUCCACGACUUCUGUGCCGUAGCUAACGCAUUAAGCGCCCCGUCUGGGGAGUACGGCCGCAAGGCUAAAACUCAAAUGAAUUGACGGGG